Scylla paramamosain (green mud crab) is the source of this 4844-nucleotide long non-coding RNA. RefSeq lists it as uncharacterized. Lineage: Eukaryota; Metazoa; Arthropoda; Malacostraca; Decapoda; Portunidae. The transcript is spliced from 4 exons. The record is from RefSeq and is a predicted model, not a curated record.
UGUGUUGUGUGGACCAGUGGGAUCACACCUGUGCCUAUGGGAGUGUGUGGUGGUGGUGAUGGUGGUGGUGGGCAGUGUGUUACAUCUGUGGUGGCAGCCGUGCCCUUGUGUGCUGUGAGGGAGUAAUGGCCCCAGCACUCGUUUUGCUGGCAGUGCAGGUGUGACUUUCAGUAAGUGUAUGUGUACUGUGAUGCAUUCUGUUCACCAGACUCGGGCCAGCAAUGAGACACUGGUUUCUGAGUCUGUUAGCACACUGAGAACCUUGCCGGUUGGAGGCAUGUCUUGGAAGCUUGGAGGUGGUGGUUUAAGAGUGAGGGUUUCUUCUAGUGUCCUCCCACCCUGCCUAGACAGACCGAGGUUGUGUCGGGGAUCUUGGCAGCCAAGGAGUUGGUAGCCUUGCGCCUUCCUCCCGAAAAAGGUGUUUGGCUACUCCUGCCCUCCAUGUCCUCGGCUGUGACUCCUCGGUGAGCAGGAAACUUUAUCAUAGUGAAGGAGUGCACUGCUGCUUGUCACAGCGGUUGUUGGAUACAGACAGGCCUCUGCAACUGGAUGUUAUCAGCAGGGGGUGCUACAUCCACCAGACUGUUCAAGUGGAUACAAUCUGGCAAUGGGGUAGGACUUAGCCAGAUGUCAUCGACAAUAUAAAUAAGUAGGUAUAAAAAUGAAUCCAGUGAAGCUGGCAAAGAAUGAAAAUAUAAAUGUAUAAACGAUGUAUUGGAAUACAUAGAAAUGGGCAAAUAAACAUAACAAAAGUGAGACCCGGGCCAUCACCAGAGAAGUGGGGAGUGGGGCUUGAAGCGGUUCGCCCGAGGACUUUGGUGGGCUAGACCACUUAUGCAGGGUAUAGACGUCAGCCCCACCCUCCGAUAUCUCGGUGGGCCCUGAGGGCCGCAACGGACCCCUCCACCCCCCGGAUGGUUAAGAGGUGGAGCUCAGCCUUGAUCAGGCCAGAGUCCAGGCUGCCACCCUGCCUGGCACUGACCACUCCAGCCGGGUUUCCUGAGGGUCCGUGCAGGAUGGUACAUGGUGUGUGCUGCUGGGAGCAGUGCUGUGGUGGAGUCUGUGAAGCUGGGCAGCAACCUAAGUGGCCAGUAGUAGUAGUAGUAGUAGUAGCAGCAGCAGCAGCAGCAGCAGCAGCAGCAGCAGCAGCAGCAGCAGCAGCAGCAGCUGUCUGUCUGUCUCAGGUGUAGGGAGGCACAGGCAUGAUGACAGAAAUCACCAAGAGGCAGGCAGCUCCAGUCACAUAGGAGAGGCCAAGUUUGAGUGUCAGCUGUGUGAUAAAACUUCUAAAUGUAGAAAUGGGUGGAGUUACCACGCCCUGACACACAAAAGUGUUAGGGAUUAUGAGAGUGAUGAGUGUGGGAAGAAAUUUAUCUUGAAGAGUUCCCUCGCCACAAACACCCUGACACACAGUGGUAUCAGGAAUUAUGAGUGAGAAGAGUGUGGGAAGAAAUUUACCCAGAUAGGUAACCUAACUGGACACACCCCAACACACAGUGGUGUCAGAAAUUAUGAAUGUGAUCAGGGUUGUGCUGUUGCAGGUGAAGGAAGGGAAGGAGUAUGUCCUGGCUUACUACAGUGCAAAGUUCAGCAAGCCAGAACGAAACUACUGCGUAACCAGGAAGGAGUUACUGGCAAUAGUGCGGAAUCUGGCCCACUUCCACUCCUACCUCUAUGGGGCUAAGUUUGUCAUCCAGACUGAUGAUACUGCUCUCCAGUAGCUGAAAACUCAGAAGGACCUGGAAGGACAGUUGUUGAGUUGGCUGGGCUAACUGGAGGAGUACAACUACUGUGCGGUGCACUGGCCAAGGCGGAUUCACAGCAGUGUAGACAGCUUGAACUGCCAACCUUGCAAGCUGGGGUGCCUGCACUGCUCCAGAUGUGAAGAAGCUGUUACCUGCUGCUGCCUGCAAGUGGAAGGUGGACCAGCAAGGCUAGCCAGUGGUGGAGGGAUGCGCAGCAAGCAGACCCUAACCUUGCCCCAGUGAUGCAAUGGGUGGAGGAGGGUGAGUGGGUGGGCAAGGAGGAAUUGUCACUGGAGAGUCCUGCCAUGAAGGUUCUGGUAGAGCAGUGUGUGAUGCUUGAGGCUGCAGGAUGGUGUGUUGUAGCAAUGCUGAGAGGAUGCAGCCAUGGAGGAGCUUGCCUGGUUACUGGUGGUUCCUCUUGCUCUUCAUGCUGAGCUGCUUGAGGAAACUCAUGAGGAUGUCUCUGGUGGGCUCAUGGGACAAAAGAAGACUCUCUGCAGUCUUUGUCAGGGUGUGUACUGGAUUGGCAUGAGAUGGGAUGUGGAAGAAUGGUGCAAGUUAUGCUGCACCUCUACUGCCAAGAAAGGUACUGCACACCAUACAUGUGUUUUAUCAGAUCAUGGAGUGGGUGGCGGUGGAUAUUGCUAGACCACUGCCUUGCACACCUCAAGGUAAUUGCUACAUUCUGGUGGCCAUGGACUACUUCUACAAGUGGCCAGAAGCAUAUGGGAUCCUGGAUCACAAGGAAGAGACUGUAGUUGGCAUGCUGGUGAGAAAAUUUUUCACCAGGUUUGGGAUCCUGGGAGAACUACACUCUGAUCAAGGUAGGGAGUUUUGAGUCCUGGGUGUUCAAGCAAUGUUGUGAGUUGUUGGGGGUGCACUACUAUGGGUUUCACUGGCCGUGUUACACUGUUUUUCGCAAAUAAUUCCUAAACAAAUUGUCGGAUCAGUAUGGUAUUUCAACACCAAGCCUUUUACACCCCUACAUAAUUUAUGGCCCACAUAUCAUAUUGCUAUAUGCGUUUACGAAGGAGUUUACUCUUGUAUAUUAAGCCGAAGCCAGGAGGUCACGUCUACACUUUCAGAGGACGCAUCCCCACCCCCCAAACACCCCCACCACCCUCCCAUAUUUCCCCCCUCCAUCCUCCUUUCGUAUCCCUCCCCGUCUCCUCCUUACCCUCCCCUCCCCUCAUUACUCAAUUUCCUGCCUCUUCCAUUAUGUUAUACCGUUUACUUUAUGUACUGUACUUAUAGCUACAUAUGUCAUAUAGGUAUGCAUCUAAGUAAUGCAGUGUGUGCAGCUUUCAAUAUUACUUAACAUGUAACGUGGGAGUACUGCAAGCUUUCAUGGAGGCAAAACGUAUAUCACGUUGUUCAUUACUGUAUAACAUCAUGUUUACGCAAAUGUAGUAGGAGGCAAAUGUGCUGUACGUAGGUCCUAUGGCCAGCCGAAUGAACACGCUCUAUUUGUAUUACCUGUGGCCUCGACUUUCUUGUAAUAACUUGUUCUUCUUUAGAACAUAGUGUAUUUAUCACACAACAUGGUCAAGUUGACAUUAUAUUAUUUUGUUGACUUGUGUCGUUCAUAACCACAGGGUUCCAUAUAAAUUGCACAAUUGUUCUUCUCUGCAUCACUGCAUCUUUGUUUAUUGAUGCCUAAUGGUAAUAAUGGCGUUGUAGCUUUAUCAAGUACAUUUGAGGCAAUGAAUAUACAAAAUAUGCUGUGGGAUAUUAUGUUAGUUACUGUAUGUUAUACAUUGUAUUAUUUUUAUGAAAUGAAAGUAUUAUGAUCGAUAUACGAGUAUGCAUUGUAGGAAUAAAAAUAGGCAAACAUGAUAGUACACGAUUUAAUCGCAGUCACUGUCCAGGAACACAUCAUCAUCCUCCUCGCUUUCAUCAUCGCUGGCGACGUUGAUGAUUACGGGUCCCACCGGCUCAUGGAUGUUAUCAGACCUCCAGUACCCUUUUUCAUAGUUUUGAGAAUGUCUGGCCGCUGCCAACCAUACGUCCUUAUUUGCUAACUGCUUGGCCUCUUCUAACCUGGCCUGCAGGUCUGCCCGAGUGAAUUGCCGGAGGGAGGAACGCACAUGGCUCUUCAUGCACCCCCAUACUUGCUCAAUGGCAUUGAGCUCAGGAUGGCCAGGUGGCAGUCGUACGACCUGGUGGCCCCACUCAUGAAUGGUGUUAUCUAUCUUGUACUGGGGCUCUGGGCGGUUCUGCUGACAGAGGAGCAGCAGCUGAUGGCGUGCGGCAGCGGGUGGGAUGGAUAUACUGCGGUGCUCGAGCCAGCUGAUGAGGUCUGCCUUCUUGGUGGCUGUGGUGGGGCAUCGACUCUCCUCUGUCAGUUGGCUGUGGUAAGGUGCAUUGUCAAGCACCAGUACAGAGGGUUCUGGCAGUGACAGCAGGAGGUGGGUCGUUAGCCACCGCUGGAAUAGAUCGCCAUUCAUCUCACCAUGGUAAUCACCCUGGGAGGACUUGGCCGGGUAGCACAGAUAAGAGCCUUCAACAAAGCCGCCGGCCGUGCCACCUGCGACCACUACAAAACGCUCCCCUUCUCCAGGUGGUACCUGUUGACUGUGGGUGGCGCUGGUGACAGCCUGUGUGGUAUCCACCCACUCCCUGCUAUGACCCAUUCUGGUGGUGAACCACGUCUCGUCCACAUAAACCACCAUCAUCCCUUCCUCCCGGUAGUGCUGGAGAGCCCGGAGAGCACCAAUCCGGCGACACACCACAUCAGGGGAUUCCCUUCUCACGUACAUCUUUCGCUGAGAUACCUUGUAUUUAAACCCCAUGGUGUGUAUAAGCCGCCAAACCGCCGUCUCUGAGGUAUGUUCAGGGAUAACACCUUCUGCUUUAAGCUCCAUCGACAACACACUGAGUGUGAGAUGUUGCUUGUCGGCAAACCUCCAAUGAAUGUGACGCCGUAUGGCACCAACUGCAAAGUUGUCAAAGACGGUCGGUGUAAUUGGUGUUGCCGGUGUGGAAAGGGAAGAUGUGUUGGCGUGGUGGACCAUCUGCCUCACUCCUCUCACCGUCAUGCCCAUGGUGUGCGCAACCCGGUCAUAUGGCCUGUUUGGAUAAUGCUUAAUGUUACUAUAA